This 380-nucleotide unclassified non-coding RNA is filed under the name uncultured bacterium. RNAcentral's name for it is "contains 16S-23S intergenic spacer region". The record is from RNAcentral.
UCCGGCUUGUCGCCGGCGGUCCCUCUAGAGUGCCCAACUGAAUGAUGGCAACUAAAGGCGAGGGUUGCGCUCGUUGCGGGACUUAACCCAACAUCUCACGACACGAGCUGACGACAGCCAUGCAGCACCUGUGUUACGGCUCCCUUUCGGGCACACCCCCAUCUCUGAGGGCUUCCGUACAUGUCAAGGGUAGGUAAGGUUUUUCGCGUUGCAUCGAAUUAAACCACAUCAUCCACCGCUUGUGCGGGUCCCCGUCAAUUCCUUUGAGUUUUAGCCUUGCGGCCGUACUCCCCAGGCGGGGCACUUAAUGCGUUAGCUACGGCACAGAUCCCGUUGGUUGAGACCCACACCUAGUGCCCAUCGUUUACGGCGUGGACUAC